This 35-nucleotide ribosomal RNA is filed under the name Symbiodinium sp. RNAcentral describes it as "partial 28S ribosomal RNA". Lineage: Eukaryota; Dinophyceae; Suessiales; Symbiodiniaceae. The record is from RNAcentral.
UAGCAUGAAGUCAGACAAGUGAACCCGCUGAAUUU